RNAcentral lists this long non-coding RNA (315 nucleotides) under Oryza sativa Indica Group (long-grained rice). RNAcentral's name for it is "lncRNA OsIR64_11g0011940". The record is from RNAcentral. Lineage: Eukaryota; Viridiplantae; Streptophyta; Magnoliopsida; Poales; Poaceae.
AACCCUCCGACUCCAAUCCGGACGCAAGACGCGAGAGGUGAGUGCGUGCGGCUGGUGACACGAGAGGCAACGGCGUGCGGUGCGAGGAGACGGCGUGGCGGCGCACUGACGUUGACGGCGACGGCGACAACUUCCCAUCCGACGUCCGCGCUCUCCGCUACCUUCUCGCCGAUUGUACCAGCAAUUCCUAGAAUUGGUGAAGACGAGCCGCCUCCUUCCUGGGACUUUGUUUUGACUCCGAAAGGUAUUCCAGUAGUUUUCUCCCUCCUAUUGUCCUGUUCUAUAUGGCUGCCCUGUUCUUCAAUAAAUAUAUGA